UACGGCUCAGUAACACGUAGCUAACCUACCCUUAGGUCAAGAAUAACCUCGGGAAACUGAGGAUAACUCUUGAUAGAAAAUAAUUUUUGGAAUAAUUUAUUUUUGAAACUCUAGCCUAAGGAUGGGGCUGUGGCUGAUUAGGUAGUUGUUGGUGUAAUGGACUAACAAGCCGAUGAUCAGUAAGGGCUCUUAGCGGAGAGGCCUUGAGAAGGAAUCUGAGACACUAUUCCUAGCUCUACGGGGUGCAGCAGUCGAGGAAAUUUUACAAUGCUCGAAAGAGUGAUAAAAUAAGCCAAAGUGUUUCUCUUAGAGAAACUUUUAUCUGCUGUAAAAAUGCAGAUGAAUAAGGACUGGGCAAGACCGGUGCCAGCCGCCGCGGUAAUACCGGCGGUCCGAGUUGCAUCCACAUUUAUUGGGUCUAAAACAUUCGUAGCUUGUUUUGUAAGUCCCUUGUGAAAUCUCAUAUCUCAAGUAUGAGGCAUGCAAGAGAUACUGCAAUACUAGAGACCGGAAGACGCAAAGAGUACAAUUAAGGUAGCGGUAAAAUGUGUUAAGCUUAAUUGGACUAACAAUGGCGAAGGCACUUUGCGAGUACGGAUCUGACAGUGAGGGAUGAAGGCUAGGGGCGCAAAAGGGAUUAGAUACCCCUGUAGUCCUAGCAGUAAACACUGCUCACUAAACAUUAGUACCUCCUCGAGAGGUAUUGGUGCUGCAGGGAAGCCGAAGAGUGAGCUACCUGGGAAGUAUAGUCGCAAGGCCGAAACUUAAAGGAAUUGGCGGA
RNAcentral lists this ribosomal RNA (781 nucleotides) under uncultured archaeon. RNAcentral describes it as "bacterial SSU rRNA". It matches the Rfam family "Archaeal small subunit ribosomal RNA", at positions 84 to 872 of the family's 1478-position model. The record is from RNAcentral.